RNAcentral lists this ribosomal RNA (388 nucleotides) under uncultured bacterium. Its description in RNAcentral is "bacterial SSU rRNA". It matches the Rfam family "Bacterial small subunit ribosomal RNA", at positions 29 to 416 of the family's 1533-position model. The record is from RNAcentral.
AUUGAACGCUGGCGGCAUGCCUUACACAUGCAAGUCGAACGGCAGCACGGGAGCAAUCCUGGUGGCGAGUGGCGAACGGGUGAGUAAUAUAUCGGAACGUGCCCAGUCGUGGGGGAUAACGUAGCGAAAGCUACGCUAAUACCGCAUACGAUCUAUGGAUGAAAGCGGGGGAUCGCAAGACCUCGCGCGAUUGGAGCGGCCGAUAUCAGAUUAGGUAGUUGGUGAGGUAAAGGGCUCACCAAGCCGACGAUCUGUAGCUGGUCUGAGAGGACGACCCAGCCACACUGGGACUGAGACACGGCCCAGACUCCUACGGGAGGCAGCAGUGGGGGAAUAUUGGACAAUGGGCGAAGCCUGAUCCAGCAAUGCCGCGUGAGUGAUGAAGGCC